AUCAUUAACAUGUUAAUGAAAAUUCACAUACUUAACAAAAAAAAGGUAGGUUUGCUCCGAUACGAGUUUUAUAUAAGAGAAAUUAGGUGGUAUGGCUAAAACAAAAACAAUAUUUAGAUCAGUAGCCAAAUACCCUAGAAUACACUGAUACAUAGUGUAUUUUGUAUAAUAUUACACUUCUAACCUUCAACGCAACCGGC
RNAcentral lists this long non-coding RNA (200 nucleotides) under Brassica rapa (field mustard). RNAcentral's name for it is "long non-coding RNA (BRAP_LNC001574)". The record is from RNAcentral. Lineage: Eukaryota; Viridiplantae; Streptophyta; Magnoliopsida; Brassicales; Brassicaceae.